Molecule: ribosomal RNA, 485 nt
Filed under: uncultured bacterium
Lineage: Bacteria
Description: bacterial SSU rRNA
Rfam family: Bacterial small subunit ribosomal RNA
Source: RNAcentral
GAUUUUCGCAAUGCCCGAAAGGGUGACGAAGCGACGCCGCGUGCGGGAAGAAGGCCUUCGGGUUGUAAACCGCUGUCGGGAGUUAAGAAAUGUAAGGAUGUUAAUAGCAUCUUUGCUUGACUAAGGCUCCGGAGGAAGCCACGGCUAACUCUGUGCCAGCAGCCGCGGUAAUACAGAGGCGGCAAGCGUCGUUCGGAAUUAUUGGGCGUAAAGAGCACGUAGGCGGCUAUGUAAGUCGGUUGUGAAAGCCUUCCGCUCAACGGGAGAACAGCAUCCGAUACUGCAUGGCUUGAGUGCGGGAGGGGAGAGUGGAACUUCUGGUGGAGCGGUGAAAUGCGUAGAUAUCAGAAGGAACGCCGGCGGCGAAAGCGGCUCUCUGGCCCAUAACUGACGCUGAGUGUGCGAAAGCUAGGGGAGCAAACGGGAUUAGAUACCCCGGUAGUCCUAGCCGUAAACGAUGGGCACUAAGUAGAGGGGUUUUAAUC